AGUUGGAAACAAACAUGGGCAUUGCGCGAAAACGGCAUCGCAUGUUCUGUAUACAGAGAAGUAAAGAAUAACGUUGGUGUCAGGUGUUCCUCUGCAGUUAGCCGUUUUCUUUUGCUUUGUCAAAAAAACAAUGUUGAUGCCCAUUACCUUUCCACUUUUUUCUGCUUUAUCUGUCUCUCUCUCUUCUCGCUUUAUAUACAUAACAACAUACAUUUCUUUUUCACUGUA
RNAcentral lists this unclassified non-coding RNA (228 nucleotides) under Hevea brasiliensis (rubber tree). Lineage: Eukaryota; Viridiplantae; Streptophyta; Magnoliopsida; Malpighiales; Euphorbiaceae. The record is from RNAcentral.